GUAGGGAAUAUUGGGCAAUGGAUGCAAGUCUGACCCAGCCAUCCCGCGUGCCGGAAGAAGGCCCUCAGGGUUGUAAACGGCUUUUGACGGUGAAGAAUCGACAGGAUGCGUCCUGUUUUGACGGUAGCCGUUGAAUAAGCACCGGCUAACUCCGUGCCAGCAGCCGCGGUAAUACGGAGGGUGCGAGCGUUGUCCGGAUUUAUUGGGUUUAAAGGGUGCGUAGGCUGGAAGGUCAGUCAGUGGUGAAAAGCUGUCGCUUAACGAUAGUCUUGCCGCAGAUACUUCCUUUCUUGGAUGAGGAGGAGGCCACUGGAACGGAUGGUGUAGCGGUGAAAUGCAUAGAUAUCAUCCAGAACACCGAUUGCGAAGGCAGGUGGCUGUACCUUAAUCGACGCUGAUGCACGAAAACAUGGGGAGCAAACAGGAUUAGAAACCCGAGUAGUCC
Molecule: ribosomal RNA, 445 nt
Filed under: uncultured bacterium
Lineage: Bacteria
Description: partial 16S ribosomal RNA
Rfam family: Bacterial small subunit ribosomal RNA
Source: RNAcentral